Macrosteles quadrilineatus (aster leafhopper) is the source of this 67-nucleotide non-coding RNA. The record is from the annotation of a RefSeq genome assembly. Lineage: Eukaryota; Metazoa; Arthropoda; Insecta; Hemiptera; Cicadellidae.
UCAUCAAGUAUUUUAAAAAAAAUAUUACUUUUGGGUAGUAAAAAUAUAGAAAUUUCUAUUUUGAUGA